UACGUAGGGUGCAAGCGUUAAUCGGAAUUACUGGGCGUAAAGCGUGCGCAGGCGGUUAUGUAAGACAGGGGUGAAAUCCCAGGGCUUAACCUUGGAACUGCAUUUGUGACUGCAUAGCUAGAGUACGGUAGAGGGGGAUGGAAUUCCGCGUGUAGCAGUGAAAUGCGUAGAUAUGCGGAGGAACACCGAUGGCGAAGACAAUCCCCUGGACCUGUACUGACGCUCAUGCACGAAAGCGUGGGGAGCAAACAGG
This 253-nucleotide ribosomal RNA is filed under the name uncultured bacterium. RNAcentral describes it as "partial 16S ribosomal RNA". It matches the Rfam family "Bacterial small subunit ribosomal RNA", at positions 524 to 776 of the family's 1533-position model. The record is from RNAcentral.